CCCUUAGAUGUCCUGGGCCGCACGCGCGCUACACUGACAUGUUCAACAAGCCUCCUAGUUCGACAGGAUUUGGGAAAUCUUUGAACGCAUGUCGUGAUAGGGAUAGAUCAUUGCGAUUAUUGAUCUUGAACGAGGAAUUCCUAGUAAACGCGAGUCAUCAGCUCGCAUUGAUUACGUCCCUGCCCUUUGUACACACCGCCCGUCGCACCUACCGAUUGAAUGUUUCGGUGAAGAUUCCGGAUAGGACUUUUUUGAUUUAUUUCAAUUUUGUCUUAAAAGCUAUCUAAACCUCAACAUUUAGAGGAAGGUGAAGUCGUAACA
RNAcentral lists this ribosomal RNA (321 nucleotides) under uncultured eukaryote. RNAcentral describes it as "partial 18S ribosomal RNA". It matches the Rfam family "Eukaryotic small subunit ribosomal RNA", at positions 1470 to 1796 of the family's 1831-position model. The record is from RNAcentral.